AUAUCAAUAAGCGGAGGAAAAGAAACCAACAGGGAUUGCCUUAGUAGCGGCGAGUGAAGCGGCAAGAGCUCAAAUUUGAAAUCUGGUACCUUCGGUGCCCGAGUUGUAAUUUGAAGAAAGCUAUCUUGGAGGUGGCCUUUGUCUAUGUUCCUUGGAACAGGACGUCAUGGAGGGUGAGAAUCCCGUGUGAUGAGGUGUCCAUUUCCGUGUAAGAUGCUUUCGAAGAGUCGAGUUGUUUGGGAAUGCAGCUCAAAGUGGGUGGUAAAUUCCAUCUAAAGCUAAAUAUUGGCGAGAGACCGAUAGCGAACAAGUACUGUGAAGGAAAGAUGAAAAGAACUUUGAAAAGAGAGUGAAAAAGUACGUGAAAUUGUUGAAAGGGAAGGGUAUUUGAUCAGACUUGGUAUUUAGCUAUCAUCGCUCCUUGUGGGUGGUGCUCUAGCUUUUUACUGGGCCAGCAUCAGUUUUGGUGGCAAGAUAAUGACAGUUGAAUGUGGCUCCUCGGAGUGUUAUAGCUUCUGUUGAUGUUGCCUACCGAGACUGAGGUCUGCGGCUUUUGCCUAGGAUGCUGGCGUAAUGAUCCAAUACCGCCCGU
Molecule: ribosomal RNA, 592 nt
Filed under: Ogataea polymorpha
Lineage: Eukaryota; Fungi; Ascomycota; Pichiomycetes; Pichiales; Pichiaceae
Description: eukaryotic LSU rRNA
Rfam family: Eukaryotic large subunit ribosomal RNA
Source: RNAcentral